This 460-nucleotide ribosomal RNA is filed under the name uncultured bacterium. RNAcentral describes it as "partial 16S ribosomal RNA". It matches the Rfam family "Bacterial small subunit ribosomal RNA", at positions 338 to 795 of the family's 1533-position model. The record is from RNAcentral.
CCUACGGGAGGCAGCAGUGAGGAAUAUUGGUCAAUGGGCGAGAGCCUGAACCAGCCAAGUAGCGUGAAGGAUGACUGCCCUACGGGUUGUAAACUUCUUUUAUACGGGAAUAAAGUGAGGAACGUGUGCCUUUUUGUAAGUACUUUAUGAAUAAGGAUCGGCUAACUCCGUGCCAGCAGCCGCGGUAAUACGGAGGAUCCGAGCGUUAUCCGGAUUUAUUGGGUUUAAAGGGAGCGUAGAUGGGUUGUUAAGUCAGAUGUGAAAGUUUGCGGCUCAACCGUAAAAUUGCCAUUGAUACUGGUUGUCUUGAGUAUAGAUGAGGUAGGCGGAAUGCGUGGUGUAGCGGUGAAAUGCUUAGAGAUCACGCAGAACUCCGAUUGCGAAGGCAGCUUACUAAACUAUAACUGACAUUGAGGCACGAAAGCGUGGGGAUCAAACAGGAUUAGAUACCCGAGUAGUC